RNAcentral lists this ribosomal RNA (253 nucleotides) under uncultured bacterium. RNAcentral describes it as "partial 16S ribosomal RNA". It matches the Rfam family "Bacterial small subunit ribosomal RNA", at positions 524 to 776 of the family's 1533-position model. The record is from RNAcentral.
UACGUAGGGUGCGAGCGUUAAUCGGAAUUGCUGGGCGUAAAGCGUGCGCAGGCGGUUCGUUGUGUCGGCGGUGAAAGCCCCGGGCUUAACCUGGGAAUGGCCGUUGAAACUGGCGAACUGGAGUGUGGCAGAGGGGGGUGGAAUUCCGCGUGUAGCAGUGAAAUGCGUAGAGAUGCGGAGGAACACCGAUGGCGAAGGCAGCCCCCUGGGCUAACACUGACGCUCAGGCACGAAAGCGUGGGGAGCAAACAGG